RNAcentral lists this transfer RNA (96 nucleotides) under Babjeviella inositovora NRRL Y-12698. It matches the Rfam family "tRNA". Rfam says of the family: Transfer RNA (tRNA) molecules are approximately 80 nucleotides in length. Their secondary structure includes four short double-helical elements and three loops (D, anti-codon, and T loops). Further hydrogen bonds mediate the characteristic L-shaped molecular structure. tRNAs have two regions of fundamental functional importance: the anti-codon, which is responsible for specific mRNA codon recognition, and the 3' end, to which the tRNAs corresponding amino acid is attached (by aminoacyl-tRNA synthetases). tRNAs cope with the degeneracy of the genetic code in two manners: having more than one tRNA (with a specific anti-codon) for a particular amino acid; and 'wobble' base-pairing, i.e. permitting non-standard base-pairing at the 3rd anti-codon position. The record is from Rfam by way of RNAcentral. Lineage: Eukaryota; Fungi; Ascomycota; Pichiomycetes; Serinales.
GGCACUGUGGCCGAGUGGUUAAGGCGACGCCCUGCUAUUAUGUAACAGUUUAGGCGUUGGGUUUUACCUGCGCAAGUUCGAAUCUUGUCUGUGUCG